This is a non-coding RNA of Nicotiana tabacum (common tobacco), 1242 nucleotides long. Lineage: Eukaryota; Viridiplantae; Streptophyta; Magnoliopsida; Solanales; Solanaceae. The record is from RefSeq and is a predicted model, not a curated record.
ACUUGGAAGAUAAGGAAAAUUACUCCAUCAAUUGGUUUUGUAGUCCUUUAAAAAUGUGUUUGUAGCUUUAUGUCUAUUUUACAAGCGGUCUUCAUUUCUACACAUAAGAAAUAUGAAAAGAACACACAAGAGAUUUGAAAAGGUCAUUUCUUCUAUUCAAAUUGCAAGUGUUAUAGGAUACAAAACAUGGCAAUAACCACUCUGAUAUCUGUCUGUUUUUCAACAAAAGCUCUAAACGGAAAAAGGAAAAUAGGUUAAGAAACUACAUGGAAAGUGGAGACUGGCAGCUCUCCAAAAUCACAACGCAUAAACACCACAAUAAUCACCCAGACAUAGCAGAAACAGAAACUUGCAUAAAGACAAAAGGGACUUUUUUCGAGGGUUCAGAAACCUUAGUUACUCUGUUAGUCUAUGAUAACAGGAAAGAACUGGAUCACCAGCAAAGUAUAUCUUUGAGUUGUAAAAGAAUAAUGACAGUCUGUACACUACGCCUUUCAGGGAAAAUUCUCGAGUCCCUUAAUGGUCAUUGCUUAUUGAGUUAUAACAUUAAAAAACAGUUGGAUACGCCAGCGAAAAUAUUGCAGGUUCAGAAAAAAAUCAAGGCCCUAAUCCAUAAAGCAAUUAUGUUAGUGGUUGAAGCAUAGAAGUAACAACCUAAAAAUCCUAAGUCUGAAUCCCAGCAACAACAUUUAGUUAAGCCCAUCUGCUCAUGAGAGGCCAACCCAUCAAGUCUGCUUGUCGGUGUAUUAGCCAAGGUGCACGCAAGUUGGCCCGAAUAUCAUUACCGUCACAAAAUAAAUUGAAAAAAGAAGUAAACAUCAAUCCAACAAAAGCAUACCUGUGCAUCAAACACAAAUAACAUCUUUGUCUUCUAACCAACGGAAUCGCCAUGGAUGAUCUUAUACUGCUUCAGAGCUGUAAAUUCAAACAUCAAUUACCAGACCCCUGCAACUAAUCAGAUAAACAAAGCCCACAAAAUGAUUCUCAGCCGAUAAAGAACAAGCAAACUUUAGGCAUGAAAUUGCUCAUAUAAUGUAGAGGAAAAUGCUACACAUACAACACCAGAACUCCUGCUAACAUCUAAUGACUCUACAAAGAGUUAAGCUCCUCAGUAUAUUGCAGAAGGUUCUAAAUGCCUGGGCAGAUAAACAAUCACUAGUUUUUGAAGCACCAUAACUAUCUUUCUGCAAUAUUAGAUCAUAGCAAAAAUUGCAAAAAUACAAGAAAUAUUACCAUAUAUCG